GCAGAGAUGAUGUAAUUGGUAAACAUGCCUGACUUAGACCCAGGUUUCUGAGAGUUCGAAUCUCUCUCUCUGUA
RNAcentral lists this transfer RNA (74 nucleotides) under Kordia algicida OT-1. RNAcentral's name for it is "tRNA-Leu". It matches the Rfam family "tRNA". Rfam says of the family: Transfer RNA (tRNA) molecules are approximately 80 nucleotides in length. The record is from RNAcentral. Lineage: Bacteria; Pseudomonadati; Bacteroidota; Flavobacteriia; Flavobacteriales; Flavobacteriaceae.